GACGAACGCUGGCGGCGUGCUUAACACAUGCAAGUCGAACGGAAAGGCCCCGCUUUUGUGGGGUGCUCGAGUGGCGAACGGGGGAGUAACACGUGAGUAACCUGCCCUUGACUUUGGGAUAACUUCAGGAAACUGGGGCGAAUACCGGAUAGGAGCUCCUGCUGCAUGGGGGGGGUUGGAAAGUUUCGGCGGUUGGGGAUGGACUCGCGGGUUAUCAGCUUGUUGGUGGGGUAGUGGCUUACCAAGGCUUUGACGGGUAGCCGGCCUGAGAGGGUGACCGGCCACAUUGGGACUGAGAUACGGCCCAGACUCCUACGGGAGGCAGCAGUGGGGAAUAUUGCCCAAUGGGGGGAAGCCUGAUGCAGCAACGCCGCGUGCGGGAUGACGGCCUUCGGGUUGUAAACCGCUUUCGCCUGUGCCGAAGCGUGAGUGACGGUAAUGGGUGAAGAAGCACCGGCUAACUACGUG
This 468-nucleotide ribosomal RNA is filed under the name uncultured bacterium. RNAcentral describes it as "partial 16S ribosomal RNA". It matches the Rfam family "Bacterial small subunit ribosomal RNA", at positions 28 to 507 of the family's 1533-position model. The record is from RNAcentral.